AUAAAAAGAAGCAAACACACCUAAGAGGAGUAAAAAGCAUGAAACAAUCAAACUCGGGUGUGGGGCAGUGGUCUACUCAGGCAUAGUUCUCUACACAUCGACCUCUACCAAGCACCUCAACGAGCUUGUCCUUGUAGCACCCGACUGGAGUCAGGAAAGGUGGAGGAGGGCCUGGAUUUGCUCCGUUUAUUUACAGGCCCUGACAGAUGGCUCAUUCAUCACUAGAUCCGAAGGCUCCUCUCAUCCUGAAAAGUCAGAAAGAACCCAGGUAAUGAUCUGAAAGUUUCCCAUGAUGCUCCUAUAUUCCUUCAAUAGUUCCCUAGCCAGGGCUCCUUUGCUUUGGUGUUUCUAGUGAUCUGUC
This is a long non-coding RNA of Mastomys coucha (southern multimammate mouse), 361 nucleotides long. RefSeq lists it as uncharacterized. The transcript is spliced from 3 exons. The record is from RefSeq and is a predicted model, not a curated record. NCBI's taxonomy places the organism in Eukaryota, Metazoa, Chordata, Mammalia, Rodentia, Muridae.